CCACACUUAAAACCUUGCUUGUCCUCAAGCAACUAGACAUCAUAAAAAAAAUCUAAAUGUGCAGAACUUGCCCUCAUCGAUAACAACACUUAGGCUAGCCAACCCGACAUAAUUAAAAAACCUAAAUGUAAGGAACUCACUUUCACCCGCGACAAUACUCAGGCUAGCCCGACCAACCCAACAAGCCACCGUAUAACCUGACAUCACUCAGAAAAACCUAAAUUAUGUAUGAACAUGUUUUGAAAAAUUCAAAUGGAGGUAGAGAUGUUAUAUUUAAAUAAGUGAUAAAUUAUUUAAACGUAGUUUGGCAGUCUUAUCAACCUAUUUUAGCUCGACAACCCGUCAACUCAACAUGUUUUUAAGUAACG
This 368-nucleotide long non-coding RNA is filed under the name Vigna radiata. RNAcentral describes it as "long non-coding RNA (VRAD_LNC010884)". Lineage: Eukaryota; Viridiplantae; Streptophyta; Magnoliopsida; Fabales; Fabaceae. The record is from RNAcentral.